GCCUGGGUGGCUCAGUCGGUUGGGCAUCUGACUUCGGCUCAGGUCAUGAUCUCACGGUCUGUGAGUUCAAGCCCCAUGUCGGGCU
Non-coding RNA from Felis catus (domestic cat), 85 nucleotides. The record is from Rfam. Lineage: Eukaryota; Metazoa; Chordata; Mammalia; Carnivora; Felidae.